AGAGUUUGAUCCUGGCUCAGGAUGAACGCUAGCUACAGGCUUAACACAUGCAAGUCGAGGGGCAGCAUCAUCAAAGCUUGCUUUGAUGGAUGGCGACCGGCGCACGGGUGAGUAACACGUAUCCAACCUGCCGACAACACUGGGAUAGCCUUUCGAAAGAAAGAUUAAUACCGGAUGGCAUAGUUUUCCCGCAUGGGAUAAUUAUUAAAGAAUUUCGGUUGUCGAUGGGGAUGCGUUCCAUUAGGCAGUUGGCGGGGUAACGGCCCACCAAACCAACGAUGGAUAGGGGUUCUGAGAGGAAGGUCCCCCACAUUGGAACUGAGACACGGUCCAAACUCCUACGGGAGGCAGCAGUGAGGAAUAUUGGUCAAUGGACGAGAGUCUGAACCAGCCAAGUAGCGUGAAGGAUGACUGCCCUAUGGGUUGUAAACUUCUUUUAUACGGGAAUAAAGUUAGCCACGUGUGGCUUUUUGUAUGUACCGUAUGAAUAAGGAUCGGCUAACUCCGUGCCAGCAGCCGCGGUAAUACGGAGGAUCCGAGCGUUAUCCGGAUUUAUUGGGUUUAAAGGGAGCGUAGGCGGGUUGUUAAGUCAGUUGUGAAAGUUUGCGGCUCAACCGUAAAAUUGCAGUUGAUACUGGCGACCUUGAGUGCAACAGAGGUAGGCGGAAUUCGUGGUGUAGCGGUGAAAUGCUUAGAUAUCACGAAGAACUCCGAUUGCGAAGGCAGCUUGCUGGACUGUAACUGACGCUGAUGCUCGAAAGUGUGGGUAUCAAACAGGAUUAGAUACCCUGGUAGUCCACACAGUAAACGAUGAAUACUCGCUGUUGGCGAUAUACAGUCAGCGGCCAAGCGAAAGCAUUAAGUAUUCCACCUGGGGAGUACGCCGGCAACGGUGAAACUCAAAGGAAUUGACGGGGGCCCGCACAAGCGGAGGAACAUGUGGUUUAAUUCGAUGAUACGCGAGGAACCUUACCCGGGCUUAAAUUGCAACUGACUGAACCGGAAACGGUUCUUUCUUCGGACAGUUGUGAAGGUGCUGCAUGGUUGUCGUCAGCUCGUGCCGUGAGGUGUCGGCUUAAGUGCCAUAACGAGCGCAACCCUUAUCGAUAGUUACUAGCAGGUCAUGCUGAGGACUCUAUUGAGACUGCCGUCGUAAGAUGUGAGGAAGGUGGGGAUGACGUCAAAUCAGCACGGCCCUUACGUCCGGGGCUACACACGUGUUACAAUGGGGGGUACAGAAGGCAGCUACACGGCGACGUGGUGCUAAUCCCGAAAGCCUCUCUCAGUUCGGAUUGGAGUCUGCAACCCGACUCCAUGAAGCUGGAUUCGCUAGUAAUCGCGCAUCAGCCACGGCGCGGUGAAUACGUUCCCGGGCCUUGCACACACCGCCCGUCAAG
Molecule: ribosomal RNA, 1397 nt
Filed under: uncultured bacterium
Lineage: Bacteria
Description: bacterial SSU rRNA
Rfam family: Bacterial small subunit ribosomal RNA
Source: RNAcentral